AUGGUGUGUUAGACAAACCACUGC
Molecule: non-coding RNA, 24 nt
Filed under: Arabidopsis thaliana (thale cress)
Lineage: Eukaryota; Viridiplantae; Streptophyta; Magnoliopsida; Brassicales; Brassicaceae
Source: RNAcentral